This 270-nucleotide ribosomal RNA is filed under the name uncultured bacterium. RNAcentral describes it as "partial small subunit ribosomal RNA". It matches the Rfam family "Bacterial small subunit ribosomal RNA", at positions 26 to 285 of the family's 1533-position model. The record is from RNAcentral.
AGAAUCAACGCUGGCGGCGUGCCUAACACAUGCAAGUCGAACGCGAAAGCCCCGCAAGGGGUGAGUAGAGUGGCAAACGGGUGAGUAACACGUGGGUGACCUGCCUUCGAGUGGGGGAUAACGUCCCGAAAGGGACGCUAAUACCGCAUAACAUCCUGCUUUUAAGAGGUGGACACCAAAGCUGGGGACCGCAAGGCCUGGCGCUUGAAGAGGGGCCCGCGCCUGAUUAGCUAGUUGGUGGGUAAUGGCUCACCAAGGCAUCGAUCAGUA